GAUGAACGCUGGCGGCGUGCCUAAUACAUGCAAGUCGAGCGAACGGACGAGAAGCUUGCUUCUCUGAUGUUAGCGGCGGACGGGUGAGUAACACGUGGAUAACCUACCUAUAAGACUGGGAUAACUUCGGGAAACCGGAGCUAAUACCGGAUAAUAUUUUGAACCGCAUGGUUCAAAAGUGAAAGACGGUCUUGCUGUCACUUAUAGAUGGAUCCGCGCUGCAUUAGCUAGUUGGUAAGGUAACGGCUUACCAAGGCAACGAUGCAUAGCCGACCUGAGAGGGUGAUCGGCCACACUGGAACUGAGACACGGUCCAGACUCCUACGGGAGGCAGCAGUAGGGAAUCUUCCGCAAUGGGCGAAAGCCUGACGGAGCAACGCCGCGUGAGUGAUGAAGGUCUUCGGAUCGUAAAACUCUGUUAUUAGGGAAGAACAUAUGUGUAAGUAACUGUGCACAUCUUGACGGUACCUAAUCAGAAAGCCACGGCUAACUACGUGCCAGCAGCCGCGGUAAUACGUAGGUGGCAAGCGUUAUCCGGAAUUAUUGGGCGUAAAGCGCGCGUAGGCGGUUUUUUAAGUCUGAUGUGAAAGCCCACGGCUCAACUGUGGAGGGUCAUUGGAAACUGGAAAACUUGAGUGCAGAAGAGGAAAGUGGAAUUCCAUGUGUAGCGGUGAAAUGCGCAGAGAUAUGGAGGAACACCAGUGGCGAAGGCGACUUUCUGGUCUGUAACUGACGCUGAUGUGCGAAAGCGUGGGGAUCAAACAGGAUUAGAUACCCUGGUAGUCCACGCCGUAAACGAUGAGUGCUAAGUGUUAGGGGGUUUCCUUCCCUUAGUGCUGCAGCUAACGCAUUAAGCACUCCGCCUGGGGAGUACGACCGCAAGGUUGAAACUCAAAGGAAUUGACGGGGACCCGCACAAGCGGUGGAGCAUGUGGUUUAAUUCGAAGCAACGCGAAGAACCUUACCAAAUCUUGACAUCCUUUGACAACUCUAGAGAUAGAGCCUUCCCCUUCGGGGGACAAAGUGACAGGUGGUGCAUGGUUGUCGUCAGCUCGUGUCGUGAGAUGUUGGGUUAAGUCCCGCAACGAGCGCAACCCUUAAGCUUAGUUGCCAUCAUUAAGUUGGGCACUCUAAGUUGACUGCCGGUGACAAACCGGAGGAAGGUGGGGAUGACGUCAAAUCAUCAUGCCCCUUAUGAUUUGGGCUACACACGUGCUACAAUGGACAAUACAAAGGGCAGCGAAACCGCGAGGUCAAGCAAAUCCCAUAAAGUUGUUCUCAGUUCGGAUUGUAGUCUGCAACUCGACUACAUGAAGCUGGAAUCGCUAGUAAUCGUAGAUCAGCAUGCUACGGUGAAUACGUUCCCGGGUCU
This 1372-nucleotide ribosomal RNA is filed under the name uncultured bacterium. Its description in RNAcentral is "bacterial SSU rRNA". It matches the Rfam family "Bacterial small subunit ribosomal RNA", at positions 28 to 1381 of the family's 1533-position model. The record is from RNAcentral.